This 465-nucleotide ribosomal RNA is filed under the name uncultured bacterium. RNAcentral's name for it is "partial 16S ribosomal RNA". It matches the Rfam family "Bacterial small subunit ribosomal RNA", at positions 28 to 507 of the family's 1533-position model. The record is from RNAcentral.
GACGAACGCUGGCGGCGUGCUUAACACAUGCAAGUCGAACGGAAAGGCCCUGCUUGCAGGGUACUCGAGUGGCGAACGGGUGAGUAACACGUGGGUGAUCUGCCCUGCACUUCGGGAUAAGCCUGGGAAACUGGGUCUAAUACCGGAUAGGAGCCAUUUUUAGUGUGAUGGUUGGAAAGUUUUUUCGGUGUAGGAUGAGCUCGCGGCCUAUCAGCUUGUUGGUGGGGUAAUGGCCUACCAAGGCGGCGACGGGUAGCCGGCCUGAGAGGGUGGACGGCCAAAAUGGGGCCGGGGAUCGGGCCCGACCUCCACCGGGAGGAAGAAGGGGGGAUUUUUGCACAUGGGGGGAAGGCCUGUUGAAGCGACGCGGGGUGGGGGUUAACGGCUUCCGGUUGGUAACCUCUUUUGGCUGGGGAGGAAGUUUUUGUGACGGUACCUAGAUAAGAAGCACCGGCUAACUACGUG